RNAcentral lists this ribosomal RNA (1227 nucleotides) under Bacillus pumilus. Its description in RNAcentral is "bacterial SSU rRNA". It matches the Rfam family "Bacterial small subunit ribosomal RNA", at positions 112 to 1328 of the family's 1533-position model. The record is from RNAcentral. Lineage: Bacteria; Bacillati; Bacillota; Bacilli; Caryophanales; Bacillaceae.
AACACGUGGGUAACCUGCCUGUAAGACUGGGAUAACUCCGGGAAACCGGAGCUAAUACCGGAUAGUUCCUUGAACCGCAUGGUUCAAGGAUGAAAGACGGUUUCGGCUGUCACUUACAGAUGGACCCGCGGCGCAUUAGCUAGUUGGUGGGGUAAUGGCUCACCAAGGCGACGAUGCGUAGCCGACCUGAGAGGGUGAUCGGCCACACUGGGACUGAGACACGGCCCAGACUCCUACGGGAGGCAGCAGUAGGGAAUCUUCCGCAAUGGACGAAAGUCUGACGGAGCAACGCCGCGUGAGUGAUGAAGGUUUUCGGAUCGUAAAGCUCUGUUGUUAGGGAGAACAAAGUGCGAGAGUAACUGCUCGCACCUUGACGGUACCUAACCAGAAGCCACGGCUAACUACGUGCCAGCAGCCGCGGUAAUACGUAGGUGGCAAGCGUUGUCCGGAAUUAUUGGGCGUAAAGGGCUCGCAGGCGGUUUCUUAAGUCUGAUGUGAAAGCCCCCGGCUCAACCGGGGAGGGUCAUCGGAAACUGGGAAACUUGAGUGCAGAAGAGGAGAGUGGAAUUCCACGUGUAGCGGUGAAAUGCGUAGAGAUGUGGAGGAACACCCAGUGGCGAAGGCGACUCUCUGGUCUGUAACUGACGCUGAGGAGCGAAAGCGUGGGGAGCGAACAGGAUUAGAUACCCUGGUAGUCCACGCGUAAACGAUGAGUGCUAAUGUGUAGGGGUUUCCGCCCCUUAGUGCUGCAGCUAACGCAUUAAGCACUCCGCCUGGGGAGUACGGUCGCAAGACUGAAACUCAAAGGAAUUGACGGGGGCCCGCACAAGCGGUGGAGCAUGUGGUUUAAUUCGAAGCAACGCGAAGAACCUUACCAGGUCUUGACAUCCUCUGACAACCCUAGAGAUAGGGCUUUCCCUUCGGGGACAGAGUGACAGGUGGUGCAUGGUUGUCGUCAGCUCGUGUCGUGAGAUGUUGGGUUAAGUCCCGCAACGAGCGCAACCCUUGAUCUUAGUUGCCAGCAUUUAGUUGGGCACUCUAAGGUGACUGCCGGUGACAAACCGGAGGAAGGUGGGGAUGACGUCAAAUCAUCAUGCCCCUUAUGACCUGGGCUACACACGUGCUACAAUGGACAGAACAAAGGGCUGCGAGACCGCAAGGUUUAGCCAAUCCCAUAAAUCUGUUCUCAGUUCGGAUCGCAGUCUGCAACUCGACUGCGUGAAGCUG